GGCUGUACUAUUUAUAUACAUAAUAGGGAUCCAGCCAGCACCCAGGCGCCACGUGUCAAACCUUGCGGCUGUACAGUUCUGAACAUUUUUUUUUUGAAGCGAGUAUAGCCGCUCGGCUAUACUAUUUUUAAAAAAAUUAAAAAAAUCUAGCCAGCACCUAGGCGCCACGUGUCAAACCAUGCGGCUGUACUGUUUUUAAAAUCUGGAAAAAAAAGGGUUUAAAGCGAGUAUAGCCGUGCGGCUAUACGAUUUUUAUAUUUUAAAAAGGGUCAAUAAUGUUUUUUAAGAAAAAAAAAAGGUUAUUUUUUGUAAUUAAACAAUCUCUUAGCCUGAUUUAAUUACUUGAAUUAUGAAUUAGGUCCUACCUAUUAUUUAUCUAGUGAAUAAUUGAUAUUAAAUAUUUUAAUUAACUUCAUAAAUGAUAUUACUUAAUAUAUAUCUUGCAUUUUUGUUAGAACAAGUGAGCUCUCACAUUCAUUCAUAGUUAGUAAAAUACGGAAGGGAAAAAAAUGCGAAUUAAAUACGUAUGUGUUUGAUUCGGCAAUAUCUUGGCACAUUACAACCCAAAAAUUCGGUCACUAUACUGUAUUUUUUAAAUAUAUAUUAUUUUUAUUCCAUAAUAUGUGCGUGUAUACGUGUGUUAAACAUGAAAAACACGUACGUACAUGUAUAAUACGUAACCUUCGAGGUCUCUAAAUGUAUUCAUUAAGCCCUUCAAGACCUUAAUUAAAGUAAUUCAAGGGCUUCAAAUAUAUUUUAAAAAAUUGAACUUCAAGUACUUACUAAUUCAAGUAAUUCAAAAAGGCUAAGAUAUAAAUUAAUUACAUAUAUGAAAUUAAAGAAGUUGGCAACAAAAAUCAAAAGUAAAGAAACUGAUUUUAUAUUUUCAAAAGUCGCUAGGUUAGCAGGGUACAGCCACGCGGGUAUACUAUAGGGAUCCAGCCAGCACCUUGGCGCCACGUGUCAAACCAUGCGGCCGUACUGUUCUGAACAUUUAAAAAAAAAGGGUUAAAAGCGCGUAUAGCCGCGCGGCUAUACUAUUUAAAAAAAAUUAAGAAAAUCUAGUAUAGCCGGGCGGCUGUACUAUUUAUAUACAUAAUAGGGAUCCAGCCAGCACCUAGGCGCCACGUGUCAAACCAGGCGGCCGUACUGUUCUGAACAUUUAAAAAAAAAAAAAAAGGGGUUAAAAGCGAGUAUAGCCGCGCGGCUAUACUAUUUCAAAAAAAAAUUUUAAAAAUCUAUUAUAGCCGGGCGGCUGUACUAUUUAUAUACAUAAUAGGGAUCCAGCCAGCACCUAGGCGCCACGUGUCAAACCAUGCGGCCGUACUGUUCUGAACAUUUUUUUAAAAAAAAAAAAGGGGUUAGAAGCGAGUAUAGCCGCGCGGCUCUACUAUUUAAAAAAAAAUUUAAGAAAAUCUAGUAUUGCCGGGCGGCUAUACUAUUUAUAUACAUAAUAGGGAUCCAGCCAGCACCUUGGCGCCACGUGUCAAACCAUGCGGCCGUACUGUUCUGAACAUUUAAAAAAAAGGGUUAAAAGCGAGUAUAGCCGCGCGGCUGUACUAUUUAAAAAAAAAUUUAAAAAUCUAUUAUAGCCGGGCGGCUGUACUAUUUAUAUACAUAAUAGGGAUCCAGCCAGCACCUAGGCGCCACGUGUCAAACCAUGCGGCCGUACUGUUCUGAACAUUUAAAAAAAAAAAAAGGGGGUUAAAAGCGAGUAUGGCCGCGCGGCUAUACUAUUUUUUAAAAAAAUUUAAAAACCUAUUAUAGCCGGGCGGCUGUACUAUUUAUAUGCAUAAUAGGGAUCCAGCCAACACCUAGGCGCCACGUGUCAAACCUUGCGGCUGUACAGUUCUGAACAUUUUUUUUUCAAAAAAUAAAAAGGGUCAAAAGCGAGUAUAGCCGCGCGGCUAUACUAUUGUAAAAAAAAUUAAAAAAAUCUAGCCAGCACCUAGGCGCCACGUGUCAAACCAUGCGGCUGUACUGUUUUUAAAAUCUGAAAAAAAAGGGGUUAAAAGCGAGUAUAGCCGUGCGGCUAAACUAUUUUUAUAUUUUACAAAGGGUCAAUAAUGUUUUUUUUUUAAAAAAGGUUAUUUUUAGUAAUUAAACAGUAUCUUAGCCUGAUUUAAUUACUUGAAUUAUGAAUUAGGUCCUAACUAUUAUUUAUCUAGUGAAUAAUUGAUAUUAAAUAUUUUAAUUAACUUCAUAAAUAAUAUUCCUUAAUAUAUAUCUUGCAUUUUUGUUAGAACAAGUGAGCUCUCAC
Molecule: long non-coding RNA, 2260 nt
Filed under: Prunus persica (peach)
Lineage: Eukaryota; Viridiplantae; Streptophyta; Magnoliopsida; Rosales; Rosaceae
Description: long non-coding RNA (PPER_LNC004159)
Source: RNAcentral